CAGCACAGAGAAGCUUGCUUCUUGGGUGGCGAGUGGCGAACGGGUGAGUAACAUAUCGGAACGUACCGAGCAGUGGGGGAUAACUAAUCGAAAGAUUAGCUAAUACCGCAUAUAUUCUGAGGAAGAAAGCAGGGGACCAUUUGGCCUUGCGCUGUUUGAGCGGCCGAUAUCUGAUUAGCUAGUUGGUGGGGUAAAGGCCUACCAAGGCGACGAUCAGUAGCGGGUCUGAGAGGAUGAUCCGCCACACUGGGACUGAGACACGGCCCAGACUCCUACGGGAGGCAGCAGUGGGGAAUUUUGGACAAUGGGCGCAAGCCUGAUCCAGCCAUGCCGCGUGUCUGAAGAAGGUCCUUCGGGUUGUAAAGGACUUUUGUCAGGGAAGAAAAGGGUGGGGUUAAUACCCCUGUCUGAUGACGUACCUGAAGAAUAAGCCCCGCA
Molecule: ribosomal RNA, 438 nt
Filed under: Neisseria mucosa
Lineage: Bacteria; Pseudomonadati; Pseudomonadota; Betaproteobacteria; Neisseriales; Neisseriaceae
Description: bacterial SSU rRNA
Rfam family: Bacterial small subunit ribosomal RNA
Source: RNAcentral